This 520-nucleotide unclassified non-coding RNA is filed under the name Hevea brasiliensis (rubber tree). The record is from RNAcentral. Lineage: Eukaryota; Viridiplantae; Streptophyta; Magnoliopsida; Malpighiales; Euphorbiaceae.
UAUUUUAUCCCACUACCUACAUGCUACUAGGUACUUCAUUUUCAGCUUUUCUUUUUCUUUUCUCUUCCUUCUGAAAAAAAAGGAAAUCUGUGAAAAUAAUUUUAUUUCUUUAAAAGAAAAAUCAAAAUAAUUAGCAACCUAGUUUUAGGGUUUAAUUAAAUAUCCUUAAUUAGAAUAUAGGGUUACUUCCCAGUAGUUUGAAGUGAGUGACCCACCUAAAAGAUGAAGAAAGGCAUAAUUUUCGAGAGCUGUCCCUCGCUUUGCUUUUUACUUGAAUCAAAUAUAUGCAAUAAAGCCAGCUUUUUUCCAAAAAGAGCAGAAAGGUCCAUUAAAUCCGGGAGCGGAUCAAUUGCCUCACUACCACCACCACACCUCACCUACGCUAAGUGUUUUUAGCCAUCAAAAUUAUAACAAUAAUUAAUCAUCCUUUUUAAUCACUUUUUAUUACCUAAUAAAAAGCCUCUUUCUUUUAUGACUUCCAUGAAUUCUUGCCCUUUCACUUUGAACUAAUUCUCUUACA